GAUGAGAACGUAGCGAAAUGCGAUAAGUAAUGUGAAUUGCAGAAUUCAGUGAAUCAUCGAGUCUUUGAACGCACAUUGCGCCCCCUGGUAUUCCGGGGGGCAUGCCUGUCCGAGCGUCAUUGCCGCCCUCAAGCACGGCUUGUGUGUUGGGCCCCCGCCCCCCGGCUUCGGGGGGCGGGCCCGAAAGGCAGCGGCGGCACCGCGUCCGGUCCUCGAGCGUAUGGGGCUUCGUCACCCGCUCUGUAGGCCCGGCCGGCGCCCGCCGGCGACCCCAAUCAAUCUUUCCAGGUUGACCUCGGAUCAGGUAGGGAUACCCGCUGAACUUAAGCAUAUCAAUAAGCGGAGGA
Molecule: unclassified non-coding RNA, 347 nt
Filed under: soil metagenome
Description: partial contains 5.8S ribosomal RNA, internal transcribed spacer 2, and large subunit ribosomal RNA
Rfam family: 5.8S ribosomal RNA (bases 5-119)
Source: RNAcentral